This 901-nucleotide long non-coding RNA is filed under the name Pongo abelii (Sumatran orangutan). Its description in RNAcentral is "lincRNA". The record is from RNAcentral. Lineage: Eukaryota; Metazoa; Chordata; Mammalia; Primates; Hominidae.
CUCUCUUCUCUCUAGAGCCUCACACUUGCUGCCUCCUCUGCCUGGAACUCUCUCCCUCUGCUGUCACAGGGCUCCCUAAGUGUCGCUUCCUCCAAGAAGCCCUCCCUGACAAGUUGAGCCACUUUAGUUUGUGCUCAGGCUCACCCUUCAUGUCUUGGUUGCUCUCAUCACUGUAAUGAUCUAAAACAACCGUCUGCUCGUGAGACCCGCAUCCCACCCCCGAUGCUGGGGCCACUCUUGGAUUUUCAUGCCUGCUGCCAGCACCCAGGGGGAGCUCCGGAAAUGUCUGUUGGGGGCUCGGAAUACCUACCUUUCUUGUAAUGCAGCCCAGCGGGUCCCAGCCUCGUUUUCCAGCCCUCACUCAAAAUGGAGUCGCUCUGGUUCGAACGCCUCUGACAAGUGUGUACCUACGUGUCAGGCGCGUCCUUCCUGCAGGCCUUUGUCUUGGUGUCACCGUGCCUGAGCUGGCCCCAACCACAGUAGCAACAGUGAUGCUGAUGCGUGACUGCUGCCUGGAGCCUGCUCACAUGACCGUGUGGAGAAAGUUCUUUCCCCGAGGACCAUCUGGAGUGGACGCCUGCACUACCCCUCUCUGAAUACACCCUCCCCACGGGGCCCUCUGGAGCAUCCUGUAGAGCCAGCCCCUACCCAGAGACCCUGAGCCUAGAGAAUGCGCUGGGUGGUGAGCCUGGGGAUGAAUGCAGAGCCCUAGGUCUCCUCUCCAGAAAGACCAGGUUUUGCCAUGUUGGCCAGGCUGGUCUUGAACUCCUGACCUCAAGCGAUCCACCUGCCUCGGCCUCCCAAAGUGCAGGGAUUACAGGUGUGAGCCACCGCACCCGGCCUCAGGCAGGUAUUUUUACCAGUUGAAUACUCUUGCACUGUGCACUCUUCACAUUCAUCA